UGCAUGAAGAUAGGUGACUCAAAGA
Molecule: non-coding RNA, 25 nt
Filed under: Mus musculus (house mouse)
Lineage: Eukaryota; Metazoa; Chordata; Mammalia; Rodentia; Muridae
Source: RNAcentral